Non-coding RNA from Perca fluviatilis (European perch), 465 nucleotides. The record is from the annotation of a RefSeq genome assembly. Lineage: Eukaryota; Metazoa; Chordata; Actinopteri; Perciformes; Percidae.
AUGAUGGACUAUAGGACAGGACUGCUGCUUUUAACUCUCUGCUGGACAGGUGUAUAUGGUCAGACUCUGACAGAAUCAGAGCCAGUGGUUAAAAGACCUGGAGAAUCCCACAGAUUGACCUGUACAGCGUCUGGAUUCACAUUCAGCAGCUACUUGAUGGCCUGGGUCAGACAGGCUCCUGGAAAAGGACUGGAGUGGGUUGCUACUAUUGAUGUUACUAGCAUCUACUACUCUCAGUCAGUUCAAGGCCGGUUUACCAUCUCCAGAGACAACAACAGACAGCAGCUGUAUCUGCAGAUGAACAGUCUGAAGACUGAAGACUCUGCUGUUUAUUAUUGUGCUCAUUCACUGAAGAACAAGUUCAGUAUUGACUUAGAGACUUCCAGCAACACAGUGACUCUAAAUGGACAGAAUGUGCAGCCUGAAGACACUGCUGUGUAUUACUGUGCCAGAGAUCCACAGUAA